Molecule: ribosomal RNA, 487 nt
Filed under: uncultured bacterium
Lineage: Bacteria
Description: bacterial SSU rRNA
Rfam family: Bacterial small subunit ribosomal RNA
Source: RNAcentral
UAGUUUGAUCAGUGGCUCGAGGACGAACGCUGGCGGCGCGCCUAACACAUGCAAGUCGAACGGAGCUUAGAGAGCUUGCUUUUUAAGCUUAGUGGCGAACGGGUGAGUAACGCGUGAGUAACCUGCCCUAGAGUGGGGGACAACAGUUGGAAACGACUGCUAAUACCGCAUAAGCCCACGGUACCGCAUGGUACUGAGGGAAAAGGAUUUAUUCGCUUUAGGAUGGACUCGCGUCCAAUUAGCUAGUUGGUGAGGUAACGGCCCACCAAGGCGACGAUUGGUAGCCGGACUGAGAGGUUGAACGGCCACAUUGGGACUGAGACACGGCCCAGACUCCUACGGGAGGCAGCAGUGGGGGAUAUUGCACAAUGGGGGAAACCCUGAUGCAGCGACGCCGCGUGGAGGAAGAAGGUUUUCGGAUUGUAAACUCCUGUCGUUAGGGACGAUAAUGACGGUACCUAACAAGAAAGCACCGGCUAACUACGUG